Molecule: ribosomal RNA, 232 nt
Filed under: uncultured eukaryote
Lineage: Eukaryota
Description: partial small subunit ribosomal RNA
Rfam family: Eukaryotic small subunit ribosomal RNA
Source: RNAcentral
AGCUCCGAUAGCGUAUAUUAAAGUUGUUGCAGUUAAAAAGCUCGUAGUUGAACUUCUAGAGAUCGACGUGUCGCCAUACGGUUUGACAUGUUAUCUUUAUCCGCUUUGAUUUAGCAAUACGCACUUUGUUGGGCGAUUGUGUAAUCAAGCAAUUUACUUUGAAAAAUUAGAGUGUUUCAAGCAGGCGAUUUGCUGGAAUACAUUAGCAUGGAAUAAUAGAACACGACCUCUU